UUAUGGAGAAUAUUUACUGGGUUAGCAUGCAUACCUGCAUCGCAGAGGUCAUUUGAGAGGAGCAAGAAGCAACCAUGGCCAUGUGGCCAAGGGCAGCUGAAGAAUGGAACAAAUGUGCUGAGAGGAAUGACCAAGCACCUCUGCACUUCAGCUCUUCUGGGACAUGCAAAUUUGCUAUAAAACAGUAUAGCCAUUCAGAUCCAUACAAAGAACUUUAUCCAAAUGUUUUCCCUUUUUCCUAGAGGCAACACAAAAGACAAAGAGUUUUCAAAAGGAGGACCUGGGAAUUCUCAACACUGCAAGUUAGUUCCUUGGCAUUUUCAUGAUGAAAACCAAAGGGACCAGGAUCUGUCCCUGGGAACAUGGUUCCUAUGGUGGUGACUAAUGGAAGCAGCAGUGGGGUCAUGGGAAUGUGGCACCAACAUAGCUCUGGAGAAAGGUACAGGGCUAGAAGAGGAGUGGGCAGAAGGCAGAGACAGUACAGGUGCAGAGUAAUGGAACAGGCUGAUACAUGUACCACACAGACAUGAAAACAAGACCUACAGCUACCUACAGGAAGAAAACAGAUUUUACGGUACAGGACAAAUGGUGAAAAGCAGAAAACCAGGAAGGCUUAGGAGAAGGUAAACAAGAGGUGUUUUAAGCUGUGCAGCAGAAAGCAUAUUCACAUUGGAUAAAUGAUAAAUGCCCCAAUUCUGUUUCAAAGAGGAACAAGCAUUUUGGGUAUUACCUUAACUGUUGCAGAAUUAAAGUAACACAGCAGUAAUGCAUCUGUUGUAAGUCACUCAAGAGAAACAAAACAGUAUAAACCAGUCUGGAACCUUC
Long non-coding RNA from Pezoporus occidentalis (night parrot), 825 nucleotides. RefSeq lists it as uncharacterized. The transcript is spliced from 4 exons. The record is from RefSeq and is a predicted model, not a curated record. NCBI's taxonomy places the organism in Eukaryota, Metazoa, Chordata, Aves, Psittaciformes, Psittacidae.